Long non-coding RNA from Panthera uncia (snow leopard), 621 nucleotides. RefSeq lists it as uncharacterized. The record is from RefSeq and is a predicted model, not a curated record. The transcript has 2 exons. NCBI's taxonomy places the organism in Eukaryota, Metazoa, Chordata, Mammalia, Carnivora, Felidae.
GCGGGCGCGGCUUCUCCGGGCCGCGGGCGGCGGGGCGGGGCGGGGCGGGGCGGGGCGGGGCGGGGGUGUGGCUAACGGGCGGCCUCUCCCGCCUCCGCGCGCGCCCUGCAAGAAAAUGGACGUUGCUCGAGGUCUCCCGGGACUUGCGCAGAUAUUCUGGCGAGUUCGCCCUUUCCGAGUGUCCCCUGGCAGGGCCGCCUCUGCGCACCCCCUUUAUAUUUAAAGAGAGCCUGGUUUGCUGAAACCCUGGAGUCGGCCACGGUUGCGACCAGUACGAUCCUGCAGCGAGGAAGGUGGUUUUGGCCUUUCCAUCCCUUCCCCUGCGUCGAUCACGUGAUCCUGAGGUCGUCCUUUGGCUUGGGCUGACCACUCUCGAGCAGCCGUCGCCACCCCUCUGUUGUGCUUAUCUCUGGGUCCCACUUGAAUCGAAGCGCGGAAAUCUCCCCUUGCGAGGACACAGUUGUCUUAGUCAUCCCUCCUUUCGCCUGGAUACUUAAUUCCUUAUCUUUUUGGUGCCUGAGAGUUGUGGCCCUCUAACUGAACCCGUGGUUUUCGGAUAAAGUACACCGCCAGUAACUGGGCAAAGAAUUUUUCCAUGCGCCAAUCAGUGGGCUCCGUUUU